Molecule: transfer RNA, 75 nt
Filed under: Selaroides leptolepis (yellowstripe scad)
Lineage: Eukaryota; Metazoa; Chordata; Actinopteri; Carangiformes; Carangidae
Description: tRNA-Leu
Rfam family: tRNA
About the family: Transfer RNA (tRNA) molecules are approximately 80 nucleotides in length. Their secondary structure includes four short double-helical elements and three loops (D, anti-codon, and T loops). Further hydrogen bonds mediate the characteristic L-shaped molecular structure. tRNAs have two regions of fundamental functional importance: the anti-codon, which is responsible for specific mRNA codon recognition, and the 3' end, to which the tRNAs corresponding amino acid is attached (by aminoacyl-tRNA synthetases). tRNAs cope with the degeneracy of the genetic code in two manners: having more than one tRNA (with a specific anti-codon) for a particular amino acid; and 'wobble' base-pairing, i.e. permitting non-standard base-pairing at the 3rd anti-codon position.
Source: RNAcentral
GUUAGAGUGGCAGAGCCCGGCAUAUUGCAAAAGGCCUAAGCCCUUUAAACAGUGGUUCAAGUCCUGUCUCUAACU